This 76-nucleotide transfer RNA is filed under the name Alteromonadaceae bacterium 2753L.S.0a.02. RNAcentral's name for it is "tRNA-Met". It matches the Rfam family "tRNA". From Rfam's summary of the family: Transfer RNA (tRNA) molecules are approximately 80 nucleotides in length. Lineage: Bacteria; Pseudomonadati; Pseudomonadota; Gammaproteobacteria; Alteromonadales; Alteromonadaceae. The record is from RNAcentral.
GUUUAGUAGCUCAGUAGGGUAGAGCAGUCGACUCAUAAUCGAUUAGUCGCGGGUUCGAUUCCCGUCUAAAACGCAA